Molecule: ribosomal RNA, 465 nt
Filed under: Vreelandella stevensii
Lineage: Bacteria; Pseudomonadati; Pseudomonadota; Gammaproteobacteria; Oceanospirillales; Halomonadaceae
Description: partial 16S ribosomal RNA
Rfam family: Bacterial small subunit ribosomal RNA
Source: RNAcentral
CCUACGGGGGGCAGCAGUGGGGAAUAUUGGACAAUGGGGGCAACCCUGAUCCAGCCAUGCCGCGUGUGUGAAGAAGGCCCUCGGGUUGUAAAGCACUUUCAGUGAGGAAGAACGCCUGGUGGUUAAUACCCAUCAGGAAAGACAUCACUCACAGAAGAAGCACCGGCUAACUCCGUGCCAGCAGCCGCGGUAAUACGGAGGGUGCGAGCGUUAAUCGGAAUUACUGGGCGUAAAGCGCGCGUAGGUGGCUUGAUAAGCCGGUUGUGAAAGCCCCGGGCUCAACCUGGGAACGGCAUCCGGAACUGUCAAGCUAGAGUGCAGGAGAGGAAGGUAGAAUUCCCGGUGCAGCGGUGAAAUGCGUAGAGAUCGGGAGGAAUACCAGUGGCGAAGGCGGCCUUCUGGACUGACACUGACACUGAGGUGCGAAAGCGUGGGUAGCAAACAGGAUUAGAUACCCUAGUAGUC